RNAcentral lists this ribosomal RNA (596 nucleotides) under Keratinophyton terreum. RNAcentral describes it as "eukaryotic LSU rRNA". It matches the Rfam family "Eukaryotic large subunit ribosomal RNA", at positions 1 to 669 of the family's 3401-position model. Lineage: Eukaryota; Fungi; Ascomycota; Eurotiomycetes; Onygenales; Onygenaceae. The record is from RNAcentral.
UCGUGUCAUAGUUCACUUGCAAACCGGCGAGUUGAAGCGGCAAAAGCUCAAAUUUGAAAUCUGGCCCCGUCAGGAGCCCGAGUUGUAAUUUGGAGAGGACACUUCGGGUGUGGCCGCGGCGUAAGUCCCUUGGAACAGGGCGUCAUAGAGGGUGAGAAUCCCGUCUUGCGCCGCCGGACCACGCCCAUGCGAAGUUCCUUCGACGAGUCGAGUUGUUUGGGAAUGCAGCUCUAAGUGGGUGGUAAAUUUCAUCUAAAGCUAAAUAUUGGCCAGAGACCGAUAGCGAACAAGUAGAGUGAUCGAAAGGUUAAAAGCACCUUGAAAAGGGAGUUAAAUAGCACGUGAAAUUGUUGAAAGGGAAGCGCUUGCAAGAGGGGGUCGGUCGCGGGGGCUCAGCGGGCAUGCUUGCCCGUGUACUCCCCCGCGUUCGGGCCAGCAUCGGUUCCGGCGGUUGGUCAAAGGCCCCUGGAAUGUGUCGUCCUCCGGGACGUCUUAUAGCCAGGGGCGCAAUGCUGCCAGCCGGGACCGAGGAACGCGCUUCGGCACGGAUGCUGGCAUAAUGGUUGUAAGCGGCCCGUCUUGAAACCACGGACCCG